Molecule: unclassified non-coding RNA, 380 nt
Filed under: soil metagenome
Description: partial contains 5.8S ribosomal RNA, internal transcribed spacer 2, and large subunit ribosomal RNA
Rfam family: 5.8S ribosomal RNA (bases 1-121)
Source: RNAcentral
GAUGAAGAACGUAGCGAAAUGCGAUAAGUAAUGCGAAUUGCAGAAUUCCAGUGAGUCAUCGAAUCUUUGAACGCACAUUGCGCCCUUUGGUAUUCCGAAGGGCAUGCCUGUUCGAGCGUCAUUAUCACCCCUCAAGCCCUCGGCUUGGUGUUGGACGGUUUGGUGGAGGACCCCCUUUGCGGGCUUCUACCCCUCCCAAAGACAAUGACGGCGGCCUCGUUGGACCCCCGGUACACUGAGUUCUUCACGGGACACGUAUCGGACACACGGGUUUACGGGACACGGUCUGCCUCCCCUCAGGGAGAAUCUCUUUUUAUCAAGGUUGACCUCGGAUCAGGUAGGGAUACCCGCUGAACUUAAGCAUAUCAAUAAGCGGAGGA